This 301-nucleotide ribosomal RNA is filed under the name uncultured bacterium. RNAcentral's name for it is "partial 16S ribosomal RNA". It matches the Rfam family "Bacterial small subunit ribosomal RNA", at positions 509 to 809 of the family's 1533-position model. The record is from RNAcentral.
CAGCAGCCACGGUAAUACGAAGGGGGCUAGCGUUGCUCGGAAUGACUGGGCGUAAAGGGCGCGUAGGCGGUUCGUACAGUCGGAUGUGAAAUCCCCGGGCUUAGCCUGGGAACUGCAUUUGUGACUGGCGGGCUAGAGUAUGGCAGAGGGGGGUAGAAUUCCACGUGUAGCAGUGAAAUGCGUAGAGAUGUGGAGGAAUACCGAUGGCGAAGGCAGCCCCCUGGGCCAAUACUGACGCUCAUGCACGAAAGCGUGGGGAGCAAACAGGAUUAGAUACCCGUGUAGUCCCUGUCUCUUAUAU